Molecule: ribosomal RNA, 466 nt
Filed under: uncultured bacterium
Lineage: Bacteria
Description: partial 16S ribosomal RNA
Rfam family: Bacterial small subunit ribosomal RNA
Source: RNAcentral
GAUGAACGCUGGCGGCGUGCUUAACACAUGCAAGUCGAACGAUGAAGCCCAGCUUGCUGGGUGGAUUAGUGGCGAACGGGUGAGUAACACGUGAGUAACCUGCCCUUAACUCUGGGAUAAGCCUGGGAAACUGGGUCUAAUACCGGAUAGGAGCGUCCACCGCAUGGUGGGUGUUGGAAAGAUUUAUCGGUUUUGGAUGGACUCGCGGCCUAUCAGCUUGUUGGUGAGGUAAUGGCUCACCAAGGCGACGACGGGUAGCCGGCCUGAGAGGGUGACCGGCCACACUGGGACUGAGACACGGCCCAGACUCCUACGGGAGGCAGCAGUGGGGAAUAUUGCACAAUGGGCGCAAGCCUGAUGCAGCGACGCCGCGUGAGGGAUGACGGCCUUCGGGUUGUAAACCUCUUUCAGUAGGGAAGAAGCGAAAGUGACGGUACCUGCAGAAGAAGCACCGGCUAGCUACGUG